ACCAUUGAGACAGAUUCAUUGGCACUGAUCAGGUCCCUGACAGAAGCCUCAACACUCAACAUAUCUUCCUCCAGCUCUUGAGCGGCAAUGACCUCCAGCAUGCACUCCUCAAAAAAGUCGAGCCAACCACCAAACCUAACUCCCAAAAGGUUGCGUAAGGGACCAACAAAGUCGGCCCGGACGGGACGGAGCGAAGGAUUGGAAUCCACGACAGCUUGCAGCAAGAAAUACUAAGGCAAGGGCGAAGGCAGUAAAGAGAAAAGGCAAAAGCGACAGUGUAAGAAAGCUAGGACCCCCUUUAUAAACAAACUAAUUAUAGAAGUUGCAGCUAUGAAUUAUUUCAAUUAAUCACAAAAAGCAUCGAUAUAAUGCGACAACAAAAAAUUUAUACUAAAGCAUACAUAUGUUUGCUGUGUAUGCUCAUACUCUAACAAAAUUAGAAUUUCCAUUAUAUAUUUUUUUGUAAUUUACUAUGAUUUUUCAAAGAUUUAGCCAAAAUAAAUAAAAAAUAAAAAGAUAAAACCUUUAUAGCAAAAACUUUGUACUAAAACAUACCAUAUUAUAUGUUCAGUGUGUAGAUCUACUCCUGUGGAGUCCAAUAAAAUUGGACUUUACAUUUUAUGACUUUCCUAUGAUUUACUGCUUUUUCAAAGAUUUAGCCAAAAUAUAUAAAAAGAAAAAGACAAAAUCACCGUUACUGUAGCAAAACCGCCUUCAAAACCACUCUAGACAUGUAAACUACACGGUUUGAGAAGUUGAGGAAAUUAGUCUGUCGGGUUUUGGAGUUGAGGAAGUAAAAGCGGACUAUCUUGAAACUUAGGGGC
This 824-nucleotide long non-coding RNA is filed under the name Sorghum bicolor (sorghum). RNAcentral's name for it is "long non-coding RNA (SBIC_LNC014757)". Lineage: Eukaryota; Viridiplantae; Streptophyta; Magnoliopsida; Poales; Poaceae. The record is from RNAcentral.